Molecule: ribosomal RNA, 433 nt
Filed under: uncultured bacterium
Lineage: Bacteria
Description: partial 16S ribosomal RNA
Rfam family: Bacterial small subunit ribosomal RNA
Source: RNAcentral
AGCGAACGCUGGCGGCAGGCUUAACACAUGCAAGUCGAGCGGGCACUUCGGUGUCAGCGGCAGACGGGUGAGUAACACGUGGGAACGUACCCUUUGGUUCGGAAUAACGCUGGGAAACUAGCGCUAAUACCGGAAACGCCCUUUUGGGGAAAGGCUUGCUGCCGAAGGAUCGGCCCGCGUCUGAUUAGCUAGUUGGUGGGGUAAUGGCCUACCAAGGCGACGAUCAGUAGCUGGUCUGAGAGGAUGAUCAGCCACACUGGGACUGAGACACGGCCCAGACUCCUACGGGAGGCAGCAGUGGGGAAUAUUGGACAAUGGGCGCAAGCCUGAUCCAGCCAUGCCGCGUGAGUGAUGAAGGCCUUAGGGUUGUAAAGCUCUUUUGUCCGGGACGAUAAUGACGGUACCGGAAGAAUAAGCCCCGGCUAACUUCGUG